GUGCUUGCUUUGUCAGUACAUGUACUGAUACUAGGAUGAUACAGGGAAGCUUAGCAUGGCCCUUUCACAAGGACAAGAUACAAAUAAAGAAAGUGUUCCAUAGUAUG
This is a small nuclear RNA of Mastomys coucha (southern multimammate mouse), 107 nucleotides long. Lineage: Eukaryota; Metazoa; Chordata; Mammalia; Rodentia; Muridae. The record is from RefSeq and is a predicted model, not a curated record.